Molecule: ribosomal RNA, 88 nt
Filed under: Paenibacillus agri
Lineage: Bacteria; Bacillati; Bacillota; Bacilli; Caryophanales; Paenibacillaceae
Description: Paenibacillus sp. JW14 partial 23S ribosomal RNA
Source: RNAcentral
AGGUUAAGCUAAUAAGAGCACACGGAGGAUGCCUAGGCGCCAGGAGCCGACGAAGGACGUGGCGAACAACGAAACUGCCUCGGGGAGC